Molecule: ribosomal RNA, 371 nt
Filed under: uncultured bacterium
Lineage: Bacteria
Description: bacterial SSU rRNA
Rfam family: Bacterial small subunit ribosomal RNA
Source: RNAcentral
AGGGGGUGCAAACGUUGCUCGGAAUUAUUGGGCGUAAAGCGCGCGUAGGCGGCUGCCUAAGUCAGAUGUGAAAGCCCUCGGCUCAACUGGGGAAGUGCAUCUGAAACUGAGUGGCUCGAGUAUCGAAGAGGAUCGCGGAAUUCCCAGUGUAGAGGUGAAAUUCGUAGAUAUUGGGAGGAACACCGGCGGCGAAGGCGGCGAUCUGGUCGAAUACUGACGCUGAGGCGCGAAAGCGUGGGGAGCAAACAGGAUUAGAUACCCUGGUAGUCCACGCCGUAAACGAUGGGUGCUAGAUGUUGCUGGUAUUGACCCCGGCAGUGUCGUAGCUAACGCGUUAAGCACCCCGCCUGGGGAGUACGGCCGCAAGGCUA